AUGUACAAUAAUGUUGUGACAAGUGUUCGAACAAGUGAUGUCGACACCGAUGACUUCCCGAUUAAGAUAGGACUGCAUCAGGGGUCAGCUUUGAGCCCUUAUCUUUUUGCAUUGGUGAUGGAUGAGAUCACAAGGGGUAUACAAGGAGAUAUCCCAUGGUGUAUGCUCUUUUCGGAUGAUGUGGUGCUAGUUGACGAUAGUCGGACGGGGGUAAAUAGGAAGUUAGAGUUAUGGAGACAAACCUUGGAAUCGAAAGGGUUUAGGCUUAGUAGAACUAAAACCGAGUACAUGAUGUGUGGUUUCAGUACUACUAGGUGUGAGGAGGAGGAGGUUAGCCUUGAUGGCCAGGUGGUACCUCGGAAGGACACCUUUCGGUAUUUGGGGUCAUUGUUGCAGGAGGAUGGGGGUAUUGAUGAAGAUGUGAACUAUCGAAUCAAAGACGGAUGGAUGAAGUGGCGCCAAGCUUCUGGCAUUCUCUGUGACAAAAGAGUGCCACAAAAGCUAAAAGGCAAGUUCUACAUGACGGCGGUUCGACCCGCAAUGUUGUAUGGCGCGGAGUGUUGGCCGACUAAAAGGUGA
This 579-nucleotide ribosomal RNA is filed under the name Triticum aestivum (bread wheat). RNAcentral describes it as "partial small subunit ribosomal RNA". The record is from RNAcentral. Lineage: Eukaryota; Viridiplantae; Streptophyta; Magnoliopsida; Poales; Poaceae.